ACGGAGGGUGCGAGCGUUGUCCGGAAUCACUGGGCGUAAAGGGCGCGUAGGCGGCGCGGUAAGCGUGCGGUGAAAGCCCGGGGCUCAACCCCGGGUCGGCCGUGCGGACUGCCGGGCUCGAGCACUGUAGAGGCGGGUGGAAUUCCGGGUGUAGCGGUGAAAUGCGCAGAUAUCAGGAGGAACACCGGUGGCGAAGGCGGUUCUCUGGGCAUUACCUGACGCUGAGGAGCGAAAGUGUGGGGAGCGAACAGGA
RNAcentral lists this ribosomal RNA (253 nucleotides) under uncultured prokaryote. RNAcentral's name for it is "partial 16S ribosomal RNA". It matches the Rfam family "Bacterial small subunit ribosomal RNA", at positions 525 to 777 of the family's 1533-position model. The record is from RNAcentral.